Fukomys damarensis (Damara mole-rat) is the source of this 475-nucleotide long non-coding RNA. RefSeq lists it as uncharacterized. The transcript has 4 exons. Lineage: Eukaryota; Metazoa; Chordata; Mammalia; Rodentia; Bathyergidae. The record is from RefSeq and is a predicted model, not a curated record.
UAUUUUAAUUUAAUAUCAUAUGGGUGACCUUUGGCAUCAGAAGAACCAAUGCUGCACCUUGGAGAAACUGACUUCAGAAACUGCAGAGCUUUCAUUAAGCAUUCCUGAAGCAUUUGACAUGAGCAUAAGUAUGAUAAAAGGAAAAGGAAAUACAACCUGUAAUGGAAAGUCACCAUGAGGAACACAUUGGAAUGGACAUGUGGACUGAACGGUUCUCUGCACUGAAGAAAGUUGCAUCCUAGAGACAAGGAAAUGUCUCUCAAAGUCGGAUGUGCUGGAGGCUUGGUUCCCGAGGCAGCAAUGUUCAGAGGUGGGACUCUUGGAAAAUGACUGGCUUGCCUUCAUCAGUGGAUCAGCCCAUUCAUGGAUUUAUUAUUUGAUGUCUUUGCUGUGAGGUGUUUUCCAGGUCACAACCACUUACCUCAGCCACUCCAUCCAGCAGCCUCCCUAGCACUUCCCGCCUCUUCAGUUUGGC